Molecule: ribosomal RNA, 254 nt
Filed under: uncultured bacterium
Lineage: Bacteria
Description: partial 16S ribosomal RNA
Rfam family: Bacterial small subunit ribosomal RNA
Source: RNAcentral
UACGGAGGGAGCUAGCGUUGUUCGGAAUUGCUGGGCGUAAAGCGCGCGCAGGCGGCCCUUUAAGUCCGCUGGUCAAAGACCGGGGCUCAACCCCGCGUCAGCCAGGGAUACUGGAGGGCUGGAGACAAGUAGAGGCAAGCGGAAUUCCGGGUGUAGCGGUGGAAUGCGUAGAGAUCCGGAAGAACACCGGAGGCGAAGGCGGCUUGCUGGGCUUGGUCUGACGCUGAGGCGCGAAAGCGUGGGGAGCGAACAGG